GGUCAAGCGAACAAGUGCAUGUGGUGGAUGCCUUGGCGAUCACAGGCGAUGAAGGACGCGGUAGCCUGCGAAAAGCUACGGGGAGCUGGCAAACGAGCUUUGAUCCGUAGAUGUCCGAAUGGGGAAACCCACUCCUUUUGGAGUAUCCAUGGCUGAAUACAUAGGCCAUGCGAAGCGAACGCGGUGAACUGAAACAUCUAAGUAACCGCAGGAAAAGAAAUCAACCGAGAUUCCCAAAGUAGUGGCGAGCGAAAUGGGAUGAGCCUUGCACUCUUUAUUUGUAUUGUUAGCCGAACGCUCUGGAAAGUGCGGCCAUAGCAGGUGAUAGCCCUGUAGGCGAAAACAGUAUGAAAGAACUAGGUGUGCGACAAGUAGGGCGGGACACGUGAAAUCCUGUCUGAAGAUGGGGGGACCAUCCUCCAAGGCUAAAUACUCGUGAUCGACCGAUAGUGAACCAGUACCGUGAGGGAAAGGCGAAAAGAACCCCGGGAGGGGAGUGAAAUAGAUCCUGAAACCGCAUGCAUACAAACAGUCGGAGCCUCGCAAGGGGUGACGGCGUACCUUUUGUAUAAUGGGUCAGCGACUUACGUUCAGUAGCAAGCUUAACCGUAUAGGGCAGGCGUAGCGAAAGCGAGUCCGAAUAGGGCGUUCAGUUGCUGGGCGUAGACCCGAAACCAGGUGAUCUAUCCAUGGCCAGGAUGAAGGUGCGGUAACACGUACUGGAGGUCCGAACCCACUAACGUUGAAAAGUUAGGGGAUGAGCUGUGGAUAGGGGUGAAAGGCUAAACAAACCUGGAAAUAGCUGGUUCUCUCCGAAAACUAUUUAGGUAGUGCCUCGUGUCUCACCUUCGGGGGUAGAGCACUGUCAUGGUUGGGGGGUCUAUUGCAGAUUACCCCGCCAUAGCAAACUCCGAAUACCGAAGAGUGCAAUCACGGGAGACAGACAUCGGGUGCUAACGUCCGGUGUCAAGAGGGAAACAACCCAGACCGCCAGCUAAGGUCCCCAAAUAUAGCUAAGUGGGAAACGAAGUGGGAAGGCUAAAACAGUCAGGAGGUUGGCUUAGAAGCAGCCACCCUUUAAAGAAAGCGUAAUAGCUCACUGAUCGAGUCGUCCUGCGCGGAAGAUGUAACGGGGCUAAGCUAUAUACCGAAGCUGCGGAUGCG
RNAcentral lists this ribosomal RNA (1164 nucleotides) under Burkholderia cenocepacia. RNAcentral describes it as "partial 23S ribosomal RNA". It matches the Rfam family "Bacterial large subunit ribosomal RNA", at positions 1 to 1210 of the family's 2925-position model. Lineage: Bacteria; Pseudomonadati; Pseudomonadota; Betaproteobacteria; Burkholderiales; Burkholderiaceae. The record is from RNAcentral.